GGAGGGGGGCCUGGCACACUUGGGGCUGCUUUGGGGCCCAGGCUGGAGGAGGACCAGGCUCAGCUGGGGCUGCUUUGGGGCCUAGUCCGGAGGGAGGCCCGGCACAGCCAGAGCCUUGUGGCAGCAGUCCAACUCUCAAGUUCAACCUUUAACCAUAACCUAAAACGGUAACCGUAGUGAAAGGUAGUGGCAGAUAGAGCUGCUUUACUGUGUUUUAAUUUUCCCAAGAAUGGUGAAGGACUCAAGCUAGUAAAGAAAGACCCCUUUCUGAAGAGCAGGACUCAGAAGGUAUUACCAGAGAGCAGAUCUCCCAGUAGAGAUUCUUCCCCUUAGACAGCCAGCCCUUAAAUGAGGUUAGGGAGGGCUGGGACCAGGCUCCACCCCUUUUCUGCACAGGUGAAACGCUUCCAGCUGUGCUCCGCAGCAGACCAUGUUUUAACAAAGGUGAAAGCCUGUGAAACAAAAGAAUCCCUUCUUACUUGUUUCACGUUUGUGUUUGUUGACCGCAGUUCCAACCAGGUGGACUCUCAAUGUCUUGCAAGCGACACCUAGAAGCAGGUACAGGCAGGAGGCACAGCACCCUGCAACCUCCAGGGGCCUUUGUGCAAAUGUUCAUGUCCUAGAAGCACGUGGCGGAGCACGUCCUGGGAUCAAGGUGCCAUGGACUGGAAAAUGCAGCUCUGGACAUACAGGCUUGGCGGAGUUCCUGUGUGAAGACAAAACUCCCAGUACUCCAGAAACGUGGAGGCAGAAGAGCAGUGACAAGUUCCAGUCGAAGGUCUCUGUUCAGCCAGUCCAGGAGUGCGUGGGCAGACAAAGAAGCGUUGUGCAGGCAGGGAAAAAUGAGUGCUGUGGGUCCUGGGAGCAGCAAUGCGUGAGGCUCCUCCUGCUAGUGCUCUUCCGCUGGAACGUCCCUUUGGUUUUCUACUUGGGAGAAUAUUUGAACCCGUUGAAAAGGGUCUGACUUGAAGCGAGGGUGCAGAGCAGAUUUAACCUCUGCAGGCGUGUAUGCCAGAGCAUGAAGCAUCGUCAACAAGCACGGGGUAGCACCAGCUUGAAACAGGGGAAGCUUCCACAGAGCCCCCAGAUGGAGUCCCAGGGUGAUGAGAUGAAGCUGAUUUUGGCAGCAUUAAAGGUGGUUUUCCAGGAUCUGUGCCUUCUAGGGCUGGGGGCUGUCACUGGGGUUGCUUUCACAGGACACCCCCCAGCCCACCUCAGGACCCACGGGGAGUCUGUCGGUGACAAAUGUGUCACUGAGUGACAGCAUCAGGGUGGGAAUGUGUGGAACACAGUGCCCAGGGCAGAGCCAAGCGGCGCUGGGGGGGGGUCAGCCCCAAGGAGAAAGCCUCCCCCAUGGAAGAAAUGGAUUGCUUAAUGCCGUGGGUGAGAUGUUGUAGAAGAGCAAAUUAAUGAGGUUAAAAGGUGCCGCCCGGGUACUGUGGGAACCUCCUCCCACCCUGCAAGUGCUGUCCAAAGCUCUCCAGUGCCCCCUGCUGCUCUUUGCAGUUCCCCACUAAGCUCCCGUUGUCUCCCAGUAUUGUCCAGAGUCUCCUUGUGCAAACUCAGUGCCCCCCAGUGCUGCCUGGAGCCACCCCAGUGCUGUAUGCGGCCCUCAGUAGCCUCCCAGUGCCCCCCAGUGGACUUCCCAGUGCCUCCAGUAGUGCCCAGUGCCCCCAGUUCAACACAUGCACUGCUCAGCACGUGACCGUCGCCUUCCCCAGGAACAAAACAAGGCAACAGAGACGUUGACAGCAGCGAUGGUGAUGGAGAUGUUCAGACUGGAGGAGCUCUUGGCUCGCUGCAGCCACCCCAGCAUCCCCAGAGCUCCCUGCUGGCCCUGGAGGAGUCAGAGUGCUCUGUGAUGGAAGAAGAGGAGUCGAGGCUGCUGGAGACAUCUGGGCUCAGUGGCUCCGUGGCAGUGAUGCACUGCAUCAGCUCUUCCAUUUGGCAGCUGUUCGCAG
Molecule: long non-coding RNA, 1961 nt
Organism: Gallus gallus (chicken)
Lineage: Eukaryota; Metazoa; Chordata; Aves; Galliformes; Phasianidae
Exons: 4
Source: RefSeq, a predicted model, not a curated record